GGGCCUGUAGCUCAAUGGUUAGAGCCGGCCGCUCAUAACGGUCUGGUUGGGGGUUCAAGUCCCUCCAGGCCCA
RNAcentral lists this transfer RNA (73 nucleotides) under Microvirga aerilata. It matches the Rfam family "tRNA". Rfam says of the family: Transfer RNA (tRNA) molecules are approximately 80 nucleotides in length. Their secondary structure includes four short double-helical elements and three loops (D, anti-codon, and T loops). Further hydrogen bonds mediate the characteristic L-shaped molecular structure. tRNAs have two regions of fundamental functional importance: the anti-codon, which is responsible for specific mRNA codon recognition, and the 3' end, to which the tRNAs corresponding amino acid is attached (by aminoacyl-tRNA synthetases). tRNAs cope with the degeneracy of the genetic code in two manners: having more than one tRNA (with a specific anti-codon) for a particular amino acid; and 'wobble' base-pairing, i.e. permitting non-standard base-pairing at the 3rd anti-codon position. RNAcentral also lists the same sequence under 2 other names. The record is from Rfam by way of RNAcentral. Lineage: Bacteria; Pseudomonadati; Pseudomonadota; Alphaproteobacteria; Hyphomicrobiales; Methylobacteriaceae.